Molecule: non-coding RNA, 26 nt
Filed under: Cricetulus griseus (Chinese hamster)
Lineage: Eukaryota; Metazoa; Chordata; Mammalia; Rodentia; Cricetidae
Source: RNAcentral
CAGCAAGGGAUGACAAGUUCGAUUUG